Molecule: ribosomal RNA, 945 nt
Filed under: Bacillus subtilis
Lineage: Bacteria; Bacillati; Bacillota; Bacilli; Caryophanales; Bacillaceae
Description: bacterial SSU rRNA
Rfam family: Bacterial small subunit ribosomal RNA
Source: RNAcentral
GCGUUUAAUAUAGCGUUAGUCGGAUUAUUGGGCGUAAGGGCUCGCAGGCGGUUCCUUAAGUCUGAUGUGAAAGCCCCCGGCUCAACCGGGGAGGGUCAUUGGAAACUGGGGAACUUGAGUGCAGAAGAGGAGAGUGGAAUUCCACGUGUAGCGGUGAAAUGCGUAGAGAUGUGGAGGAACACCAGUGGCGAAGGCGACUCUCUGGUCUGUAACUGACGCUGAGGAGCGAAAGCGUGGGGAGCGAACAGGAUUAGAUACCCUGGUAGUCCACGCCGUAAACGAUGAGUGCUAAGUGUUAGGGGGUUUCCGCCCCUUAGUGCUGCAGCUAACGCAUUAAGCACUCCGCCUGGGGAGUACGGUCGCAAGACUGAAACUCAAAGGAAUUGACGGGGGCCCGCACAAGCGGUGGAGCAUGUGGUUUAAUUCGAAGCAACGCGAAGAACCUUACCAGGUCUUGACAUCCUCUGACAAUCCUAGAGAUAGGACGUCCCCUUCGGGGGCAGAGUGACAGGUGGUGCAUGGUUGUCGUCAGCUCGUGUCGUGAGAUGUUGGGUUAAGUCCCGCAACGAGCGCAACCCUUGAUCUUAGUUGCCAGCAUUCAGUUGGGCACUCUAAGGUGACUGCCGGUGACAAACCGGAGGAAGGUGGGGAUGACGUCAAAUCAUCAUGCCCCUUAUGACCUGGGCUACACACGUGCUACAAUGGACAGAACAAAGGGCAGCGAAACCGCGAGGUUAAGCCAAUCCCACAAAUCUGUUCUCAGUUCGGAUCGCAGUCUGCAACUCGACUGCGUGAAGCUGGAAUCGCUAGUAUCGCGGAUCAGCAUGCCGCGGUGAUACGUUCCCGGGCCUUGUACACACCGCCGUCACACCACGAGAGUUUGUAACACCCGAAGUCGUGAGGUACCUUUUAGAGCAACCCCGAGUGGGACAUGUGUGAGCUAUC